UAGUAGAGCGAAAGAACGGUAUAUAUGGUUUUGAGUGAAUGUGUAGAGUUACUGGAGGCGAAUGUAAGCAUCAAAUUACCAAGGUCUGUUUGAAACCACUCGUGGUUUGCGAAGAGUAAAUUGAACAUGUGUGGCGUUUUGCGAGUUACCUAUAUGCGGAAAUUGAUUUUAUACGAUCGUAAUUACAUAUUGCUAAAAAUUCGGCGACAGAUUGGAAAAGUUUUUGUAGGGAAGUGUGCAUUGAAGAAGAAUGUGAUGUUGAGUGGUGUGCUUGAAGGAGAAUGUGAUGGGGUGCAAAAGGAGAAGACUGAAGCUGACGAUACAUAUCGAUAGUCCAAUGAUCUACUCAACAGUAGCAAAACUGUAAACUUUGACCCUGGUUGCCAGGAGAAGGAAAUUCCCUGACUUUUCCAGGUGUGUUUUGAGAAAAUUCCAGUCUAUCCGCAUAGUGCGCAUUGGCUGCGCUGAGAGCUCAUGUGAAUCGACUAAAACAACCAUGGAGGUGCAAGUUCUGAUGAUGACGACAACCAGGAUACAGAAAAAUUACCAAGACAGAUUCCUUGACAAAAUCCUCUGAAUAUCUGAAGCCAAGGACUAAUGAUGGUUAGUUAUACAAUGGCCAAGGUAAGAACUUCUUUUUUUAAUACCUGCAUACACUUGAUAAAUGAAAAACUCAUGGACCCUUUGGGGCAUUCAAGAACUUUAAGACACUUAUCG
This is a long non-coding RNA of Stegodyphus dumicola, 717 nucleotides long. The record is from RefSeq and is a predicted model, not a curated record. NCBI's taxonomy places the organism in Eukaryota, Metazoa, Arthropoda, Arachnida, Araneae, Eresidae.